UUUAAGGCAUAAAAUAUCUGCAAAUUAAGAUUAUAUACAAAAAUGCAUGUUCUGGGUGUUCCCGUGAUUCCUUUUCUAUCAUUUAUUUUUCUUUAAGUCUGGAAUCUGAUUCCUUUUGGGAUGAGCACCCCUCUGAGCCCCCCAGUUUCAGAGGCUUCUUUGGAGGUGACCACUGAAAAGUAUAGAUUCUAUAAAAUAGAUGUGAG
Molecule: non-coding RNA, 206 nt
Organism: Pelobates cultripes (western spadefoot toad)
Lineage: Eukaryota; Metazoa; Chordata; Amphibia; Anura; Pelobatidae
Source: the annotation of a GenBank genome assembly